Molecule: non-coding RNA, 710 nt
Organism: Punica granatum (pomegranate)
Lineage: Eukaryota; Viridiplantae; Streptophyta; Magnoliopsida; Myrtales; Lythraceae
Source: RefSeq, a predicted model, not a curated record
UCUUUCUUUCUUUCUUCUACAGAGAGAACUCACUCUCAGAGAUGACCAUAACCCAAUUGAUCCCACCUCAGCCCUCAACCUCUCCAAGCUCCACAGUGAUCCUACCUCGAUGUGACGCCGUGAUCCCAGGUGAGUCUCUCUCUCUACUCUCUGUCAAUUGAAGCUGGAUUGAGUUCUCGAUUGUCAACUGAGCCCUAACCCGAUUGAGUCUCUUUGUGUGAUGCCAACGCAACCCUGAUCGGAAGAGUCACUAACGCUGAAUGUCGUGCCCCCCCCCCCCCCCCCCCCCCCCCGGGGGGACCCUCUGAACUAAAGGCUGAAACUUAGAACUCGUCGAGUUCGAGUUCGGCUCCUGCCCUUGUCUCGCUCCGCCAGCUCUCCACGGAGUCUCCGCUAGCGAAUUGUGUCCUAUGUAGCAGCUCACUAGCUUAGAGGAUCAGAGGAAGCUGAAACAUGAAACCUAUGAACCUGUGGGACAUUGGGGAUUGAUCGAGCUGUUGGCCCUAACCGAUUUGAAGCCCUCGGUUAUGAAUUACGGAGAAGAAAGUGACGAGGGCUCGAAGGAGUUGCAAAGAUCAAAUAAGGGUUGAGUUUAUCAAUUCACUGCUCUUCCAUAAACUUCAAUUGCUUUAGGAAAUAAACUAAACUCUUCCAUUGCUUUUGUUCUCCUAAGCUUGCAUGAGCUUUACUAGUAAAACUUUAGUAGCUGA